This 865-nucleotide non-coding RNA is filed under the name Pongo abelii (Sumatran orangutan). Lineage: Eukaryota; Metazoa; Chordata; Mammalia; Primates; Hominidae. The record is from RNAcentral.
CCUCUCUGUUGUGAUUCAUCCCCCCCAGGCCCUACAGUUUCUCCUUCCUGACUCUUACAUUUCUUUGGAUGGCAUCACUAUUUACCUGUCUCCUCCCAUAGUUAGUUGCCAAGCACUGUGGAUUCUACCCCUCAGGGUCCAGACACCCAUUUUCCUUCCCACUGUUCCCUCCCCAUGGAGAAGCCUGUGGCUGACUGACAGCUCAACUUGGAGAAGGUGUUACCUGGGCCAGGUGGGGAAGGUAGGGUUGUUUGCAGAGCAAAGAAGUGAAGCCUAUUCAAUGUGAAAAAGAUGAGGGCGAAGACCUUUAUGAUGAUCCAAGUAAUGAACACACUGGAGAAAGUCAAACAGUCAAAACAAUGUCCCAGACUCCGUGAAGUUCCUGGGUAGAGAAGUAGACAGACGUACACCAUACCUAAUAAUUGGAGGUCCAAGAGAAUGAGAGAAUGGCAGAAAGAACUUUAGAGCAUGGGUAUGAUGGCUAGAGCUUGAGCAGCCAUUGUGGACAUCAGAUGAACCUGAAAGUGAAAACUAUGAGCUGAAUAUGACAAAGCAAAUAGAAAACUGGAUUCAUGAUGACACUGCAAAGCUGCCAGACCAGCUCUAGUCUGCUUCUCCCUAAUCUUCCUUACUAAGAGAGAGAAAUAAACUUCCAUCUUCUUCAAGGCACUGCUGGUGAAUCUGACUACUUACUAGAUGGUUGCAUUUUGAUUUCCCAGAGACAUCUUAAGGUCAACAUGUUCAAAACCAAACAUCUUCCUUUCUUAAGGCUGCAUCCCACCUGGUUGUUGAAGUCAGAAACCUGGAUUCUACAUUCUCCCUUAACCCCAUAUCCAAUUAAAGCAGGCAGAAUAAUGGCUCCCUC